AAUUUCCCCAAUUUCAUGAUAUUGACUCGCGUUCUGCGUUCCUCUCUCUCGCCGUUGUGGUGUUCUUCACUGCUCUGCUCGCGUCGUGUUAUGCUUGCAUCGCAUUCUGCUCUGCUCGUGUCAUGUGCUUCUUCUCGCAUCGUGUUCUGCUCUGCUCCGCCAUGUUUGAUCUUCAGCUCGCGUCAUUUUGAAACAUUCACUUUGCUCCGCCGUGGUGUCGUUCACAUCUUCCUCUCAAAUUUUUCAGAUCUAUAAUUUGGACAGCACAGGCUUUGCAAUUCUCUUGCAGUUUCAUUUAAGCUCUAUGAUUUGGACAGCACAGGCUUUAUAGAAUGCUAAGAGGUGCUAUUGAUUGAUUCUUUGGACACUUUGGCUCUACUCGGUGACUGUGACCGCUUUGCCGCUUCCGUUGAAUGGAUUGGUAAAAAUAUUCGCUUUGAUAUUAACAAAACUGUUUCUUUGUUUGAGACGACAAUCAGAGUUCUUGGAGGAUUGCUUUCGGCUCAUCUUAUAGCCAAUGAUUACGCUACGGGAUGCGAUGAUUGGUGCCAUUCCAAGCUAUGAGGAGCCGUAUAUUAAAGUUCCAAGGGUCUUAAGUAUGGACUAAAAACUUUGUAAAGUUCAUUGAAGGUGGAGCAGAGGCUGAAAUAAACUCAAAGUGAAGUUGACUCGGUGAAAGACCUGAAUGAAUCAAUCCCUCUUCAUGAUGAAGAACAUGAAAACAAAGGAAAAGAUGAGAGCUGUGAAGCUGCUGAAAGCGGUGCAUCUGAAAGGGAAGAUGCAACUGACGAGAUUUAGCAUAUGGGACAAGUCAAGUAUGGAUAUAAAAUAUGCAAGUAGAUUGACAUUUUUUUUACAAAUAUUAAUUACUAUUUUGUUAUAACAAUUAUUGUUAGAUAAGAAUUUUAUUAUUUUGUUGAGAAUUCUUGAUGAACAUGUAUUUAAAAUACUAA
Arachis duranensis is the source of this 953-nucleotide long non-coding RNA. RefSeq lists it as uncharacterized. The transcript is spliced from 8 exons. The record is from RefSeq and is a predicted model, not a curated record. Lineage: Eukaryota; Viridiplantae; Streptophyta; Magnoliopsida; Fabales; Fabaceae.